RNAcentral lists this long non-coding RNA (2581 nucleotides) under Marmota monax (woodchuck). Lineage: Eukaryota; Metazoa; Chordata; Mammalia; Rodentia; Sciuridae. The record is from RNAcentral.
GCCAGGUCAUCCUGGGCCAGAGAGAUAAAGCCACUUGGCCAAAGCCACUCGACUGAGUGAGCACACGUUGUCAUUGUCUGUUCUGAACAUGAGGAUCCGCCCCUCACCUCGGUUGCCUGGGAGUCUGGGGUGGGCAGCAGUGGGGCCCGGAAGCUUCCCGUCUGUAGCCCAUGGUAAGAAGGGGACUUUGUUUUCUUUUGCUAAAGAAGGAGUAUGAGAGCUGGUGUGUGUCUGUGUAUGUGUGUGUUUGUGUGAGUGUGUGUGAGUGUGUCUUCAGAGGUCCCCAGGUAAACAGGUAAGACAGGCACCUGUCUGGCCUACCUGACCUCAGAUGGGGUGGAGCUGUGUUAGGGGCAAACUCUAGGACACCUUGGGCCCAGUGACCGGGAGGGGGGGGGGGGGGGGUGAUGACAGUCUUUUUUGUGAAGCCACGUUCUCCUCAUGGGCCUGGCACCUGGGACAGAAGACUGGUGCUGCUGAACCCAAACUUAUUCCUGAGGAGGGGGGAGGAAGGGAGGGCGGGGGUGGGGUGGGGGAGGGGCUGAACAUGUGGCUGCCUGAGUGACAGUUGCUUAGGUAUCAGAGUUCCCUGCAAGUCACGGAAAACAGCUUUGGCUAAUUUAAGCAGAGGAGAAAUUUAUUAAAAGGACUUUGGGCACUUAUAUCGUCUUCAGGUGGACCCAAGGACAAAGCUUAGAGGGUACCCAAGCCAGUAACAUGGCCAAAGUCACCCCAUGGACCUGGGCUGGUGAAGAUGCCAGGCUUCCCCGUCACUUGUCCUCGGAAGGGAUCCCAGAUGGUCCUUCUUCUUCUCGGCAGUGCUGAUUUUCAAUUCAGAAUUGAGGGUGGGUAUGUUGGGGAGUGACUCCCAGGUCACAUGCCUGCACCCACCCUGCAAGGGAUGCUGGGAAAGUGAGUUUCCAGUGUUUUCAGCUUCUGCGCUGGAAGGCGGGACUCUCCAGUAGAAGAAGGGGCUUCAGAUGCUGGGAGGCCCAAAGCAUUCAAAAGUCCUUCCCACAUAGGGGCCAUCACUAAGAUGGCCCUGGAGUGUGACUGUGAGUCCAGUGCUGUACACACCUGGCAGGGAUUACUGAUCUGAAGGACCCUUCAUGAGACAUGGGAAAGACACCUGUCCUUAAGAGGCCUGACCCAGCUACGAGUUCCUGAUACCUGGGACCGUCACUGACCGCACAGAUUCAUCAAUCUAGACACUUCUAGCCCAGCACAGUCUCCUUUGAAUGAAAGUUCUGCCGUUAAGGACUCAAAUCCAGUCCGUUCAGGAGUUCUGCCCCUUCUUCCUGGGAAGCUGCACAACUUCCAUGGAGCUUGCAUCCCUCCCUGUGUGAUCUUUGUGGCCUUUGGUCAUCCACGCCUGUCCUCCUUGUACCUGCCCAGAAGCCACUAUGACCUUUGGCCUCUGUUUGCCAGGGUUAUGCAAUCAACUCUGCAGCUGCCUAACCAGAACUGUGCACCCCUUCGGUCCACCAGUCUGCUCCUGGCCAUACCUGCAUCCACUUUGAAGGAGUAGAAAUUUCUGGGUUCUCGCCAGGUGCUGUGGUGCAUCCUGUCAUCCCAGCGACUCAGGUGGCAGAGGCAAGAGGAUUCCAAGUUCAAAUCCAGCCUCAGCAACUUAGCAAGCCCCUAAACAACUUCGAGAGACCCUGUCUCAAAAGAAAAAAGAAAAAGGACUGAGAUGGGGCUCAGUGGUUGAGCACUCCUGGGUUUAAUCCCCAGUACAAAAAAAAAAAAAGAAAUUCUGGGUUCUCCUCCUUGUGACACUCAUGUGGAAGGAGUCGGGGGUGUCGGGGGGGCAGGUGGCUAGCUCACCUUCCAUCUACUGAGGCCUCUCCGUCCCCAGGCCACACACCUGCUAAGGGAGGUGCACGUUGACCCCCGCAUCCUUCAAGUGUACCCAGGGGCUUCUCUCAUGCCACCUAGACCCCCUUUGGCCCACAUCUGUGUGAGGGUUGUGACACUGUCCCUUCUCUCCCACCUGCAGGUCAAGCCUCUCUCUGCUUUUGGGUGGGAUCUUUGCUUCUGUGGUGACGCAGGCUUCCCUUCACCAGGGCUUAGGGCAUCAGCUGUCUGCUCUUCAAGUUCAAAGCAAGGCUUCUGGACUGACAAAAAAGAUUUCUCUUUCAAAACCCGGCUCUUGUAGGGCUAUAGUCUCAGCUCUGGGUUUCAAAGCCUCUUUUGCAACUCAGAGCCAAGGGUUUGACUCUUUGUUCUGGUUUUCCCGUGGAGAGCAGGAAUCAGAGGGAGCCAACUUAGCAUCUGAAUGGAGAAGAAUGGAUAUAAGGAAAUUGUCUAGAAGAACAAUGGUUAAUACCCUCAAAUGAUCUCAAAUGAUCAGAACCUUAUCUCCCUGUUGUUUCAUGUUAAUCCCUCAGGGGCAGGGGCGCCCAUGGAAGACCUGGCACUAGGGUGAAGGGAGCAGGGCACUUGCCCCCGAGGGAUGAUAUUUAAAGUGCAAACAACAACAACUUCAUAAUCAAGUAAUAGUUUGAUGUAAUCUGUGUGUGUGUGUGUGUGUGUCUUGGAUUUGAUUCUGGGGCUCCUCUACCACUGAGCUACAACCCCA